This 279-nucleotide ribosomal RNA is filed under the name uncultured bacterium. RNAcentral describes it as "partial 16S ribosomal RNA". It matches the Rfam family "Bacterial small subunit ribosomal RNA", at positions 506 to 784 of the family's 1533-position model. The record is from RNAcentral.
UGCCAGCCGCCGCGGUAAUACGGAAGGUCCAAGCGUUAAUCGGAAUUACUGGGCUUAAAGAGUUCGUAGGUGGUUGAAAAAGUUAGUGGUGAAAUCCCAGAGCUUAACUCUGGAACUGCCAUUAAAACUUUUCAGCUAGAGUAUGAUAGAGGAAAGCAGAAUUUCUAGUGUGGAGGUGAAAUUCGUAGAUAUUAGAAAGAAUACCAAUUGCGAAGGCAGCUUUCUGGAUCAUUACUGACACUGAGGAACGAAAGCAUGGGUAGCGAAGAGGAUUAGAUA